UGCCUUUUUUAUUUUAAUAAAAAGAGUAUAUUAGGUUUAACUUUAUAUAUUAUUUUUAUUAAAUUAAGAAUUCAAUACCUUUGAAUGUAAUUCUAGAUAAAAUAUUGAUAAUGACAAAGUUUUAUCUAUAUGUCUUGACCAAAUCUUGUGCCAGCAGUCGCGGCAACACAAGGAAGACAAGUGUUAUUCAUCUUAAAUCGGUUUAAAGGGUACCUAGACGGUGAAUUAGGCCUUAAAUGGAACGUUUUUACUAGAGUUAUAUAUGCAUGAGGACUGUGUGAGUAUUACCAGAGUAGAGAUGUAAUUUUUUGAUACUGUUAAGACUGGUAAAGGCAAAAGCAAACCUUUAUAUAUUAACUGACGUUGAGGGACGAAGGCUUGGGGCGCAAACAGGAUUAGAUACCCCAGUA
RNAcentral lists this ribosomal RNA (410 nucleotides) under Trypethelium eluteriae. Its description in RNAcentral is "mitochondrial SSU rRNA". It matches the Rfam family "Bacterial small subunit ribosomal RNA", at positions 350 to 792 of the family's 1533-position model. The record is from RNAcentral. Lineage: Eukaryota; Fungi; Ascomycota; Dothideomycetes; Trypetheliales; Trypetheliaceae.